GCGUCGGCUAACUACGUGCCAGCAGCCGCGGUAAGACCGUAGGACGCAAGCGUUAUCCGGAUUUACUGGGCGUAAAGCGCCCUGUAGGCGGUCAAGUAAGUCGGAUGUGAAAGCCCCGUGCUCAACGCGGGGAAGCCAUUCGGAUACUGCGUGACUAGAGAACGGCAGAGGGAAACGGAAUUUCUGGUGUAGCGGUAAAAUGCGCAGAGAUCAGAAAGAACACCGAUGGCGAAGGCAGUUUCCUAGGCCGCAUCUGACGCUGAGAGGCGAAAGCUAGGGGAGCAAACAGGAUUAGAGACCCUGGUAGUCCUAGCUGUAAACGAUGGAUGCUAGGUGUGGGCCGGAAAGGUCCGUGCCGUAGUUAACGCGAUAAGCAUCCCGCCUGGGGAGUACGGCCGCAAGGCUAAAACUCAAACGAAUUGACGGGGACCCGCACAAGCAGCGGAGCGUGUGGUUUAAUUCGAUGCUACACGCAGAACCUUACCUGGGCUUGACAUGUAGGUGGUAGUGAAGUGAAAGCGGAGCGACCCUUCGGGGAGCCUACACAGGUGCUGCAUGGCUGUCGUCAGCUCGUGCCGUGAGGUGUCGGGUUAAGUCCCGUAACGAGCGCAACCCUCGUCCUUAGUUACAAGUGUCUAAGGAGACUGCCGGUGACAAACCGGAGGAAGGUGGGGAUGACGUCAAGUCAGCAUGGCCCUUAUGUCCAGGGCGACACACACGCUACAAUGGUCGGUACAAUGGGCAGCGCAGCCGCGAGGUGAAGCGAAUCCCAACAAAGCCGAUCCCAGUUCGGAUUGCAGGCUGC
RNAcentral lists this ribosomal RNA (805 nucleotides) under uncultured organism. Its description in RNAcentral is "bacterial SSU rRNA". It matches the Rfam family "Bacterial small subunit ribosomal RNA", at positions 490 to 1308 of the family's 1533-position model. The record is from RNAcentral.